GUAUCGAUGGUUCAGUGGUAGAAUGCUCGCCUGCUACGCGGGCGGCCCGGGUUCGAUUCCCGGUCGAUGCA
RNAcentral lists this transfer RNA (71 nucleotides) under Daphnia pulex (common water flea). RNAcentral describes it as "tRNA-Ser". It matches the Rfam family "tRNA". Rfam says of the family: Transfer RNA (tRNA) molecules are approximately 80 nucleotides in length. Their secondary structure includes four short double-helical elements and three loops (D, anti-codon, and T loops). The record is from RNAcentral. Lineage: Eukaryota; Metazoa; Arthropoda; Branchiopoda; Diplostraca; Daphniidae.